GACGAACGCUGGCGGCGUGCUUAACACAUGCAAGUCGAACGGUAAGGCCCUUCGGGGUACACGAGUGGCGAACGGGUGAGUAACACGUGGGUGAUCUGCCCUGCACUUCGGGAUAAGCCUGGGAAACUGGGUCUAAUACCGGAUAGGACUCCGGACUGCAUGGUCUGGGGUGGAAAGCUUUUGCGGUGUGGGAUGGGACCGCGGCCUAUCAGCUUGUUGGUGGGGUGAUGGCCUACCAAGGCGACGAAGGGUAGCCGGCCUGAGAGGGUGACCGGCCACACUGGGACUGCGAUACGGCCCAGACUCCUACGGGAGGCAGCAGUGGGGAAUAUUGCACAAUGGGCGCAAGCCUGAUGCAGCGACGCCGCGUGAGGGAUGACGGCCCUCGGGUUGUAAACCUCUUUCAGCAUCGACGAAGCGAAAGUGACGGUAGGUGCAGAAGAAGGACCGGCCAACUACGUGCCAGCAGCCGCAGUAA
Molecule: ribosomal RNA, 478 nt
Filed under: uncultured bacterium
Lineage: Bacteria
Description: partial 16S ribosomal RNA
Rfam family: Bacterial small subunit ribosomal RNA
Source: RNAcentral